Molecule: ribosomal RNA, 497 nt
Filed under: uncultured bacterium
Lineage: Bacteria
Description: partial 16S ribosomal RNA
Rfam family: Bacterial small subunit ribosomal RNA
Source: RNAcentral
GAUGAACGCUGGCGGCGUGCCUAAUACAUGCAAGUCGAGCGAACGGACGAGAAGCUUGCUUCUCUGAUGUUAGCGGGGGACGGGUGAGUAACACGUGGAUAACCUACCUAUAAGACUGGGAUAACUUCGGGAAACCGGAGCUAAUACCGCAUAAUAUUUCGAACCGCAUGGUUCAAAAGUGAAAGACGGUCUUGCUGUCUCUUAUAGAUUGAUCCGCGCUGCAUUAGCUAGUUGGUAAGGUAACGGCUUACCAAGGCAACGAUGCAUAGCCGACCUGAGAGGGUGAUCGGCCACACUGGAACUGAGACACGGUCCAGACUCCUACGGGAGGCAGCAGUAGGGAAUCUUCCGCAAUGGGCGAAAGCCUGACGGAGCAACGCCGCGUGAGUGAUGAAGGUCUUCGGAUCGUAAAACUCUGUUAUUAGGGAAGAACAAAUGUGUAAGUAACUGUGCACAUCUUGACGGUACCUAAUCAGAAAGCCACGGCUAACUACGUG